Molecule: long non-coding RNA, 1030 nt
Filed under: Mus pahari (shrew mouse)
Lineage: Eukaryota; Metazoa; Chordata; Mammalia; Rodentia; Muridae
Description: lncRNA (MGP_PahariEiJ_G0003131.1)
Source: RNAcentral
GGGAGCGCGCAGAGUCCCGCUGACAAAUGGCUGCUGCAUCGGGGCGCACUGCGCCCGCGAGCGGGCUGUAGGGCCCGCGCCGCCCCGUCCCCGCCGCUCCCUUACCAUGAGGCCGGUGAGUCGCCGAGACCUGGACUGGACUUACUCCUUGUUGCUACUCGCAAUCGUCUUGCUCUCUUGGGGAUUCGUCAUCUAUGCAUCGACUGUAGCUGCACGACGACAACUACAGAAGGAGUUUCCAGACAAGUUCUUCUGAAUGAACUUUUGUAAUUCUUAGCAAACGUUUCCUCAAGUGGCACCUAUGUAGACUCAAAAGUAAAAUUCACAAUACAACUUUGCGUAUGGUCUUUUGUGAUAAGCGUUAACAUGCCAAUUUUUCAAAAUGAUCGGACAACACUUUUGUUUUUGUAAGACAGGGUUUCUCUGUGUAGCCCUGGCUGUCCUGAAACUCACUCUGUAGACCAGGCUGGCCUUGAAUCCGCCUGCCUCUGCCUCCCAAGUGCUGGGAUUAAAGGCGUGCACCACCACUGCCCGGCUCUUUUUUGUAUCAGGUCAUAGCUUUUCAUUCUAGUGCUCAGACACUUCACAUCCUCAUGUCAAAUCAGUAUGUAAACAACACUUUGUGACUAAAAUGUGUUUUGUAUUCUAUUUAUCAAAAUGGACAGAAAAAAGGAGCUAAUAGCUCUGUUUAGUAUUUGUUUUUUACUGUUAGUCUCAAAUCAAAGAACCCUUGGACACUAACAAGGACAGUGAUAACACUCUGAGAGUAAGCUUUAUUACUUUUCCAGGAAACAGAUUCAGCAAACACAGCACUUUAGGAACAUACUUGUGCUGAUACACAAGUCUGUUAAGGUUUUAAGGACUCUUCAAUGAUGUUGAUCAGGAAAAUCUCUCAUUGGUGGAAUUACUUCUCCAGUCUCCAUAAUUGUAUCACCCUAGGGAAAACAGGAAGUGUUUAAUAGAAAUUUUUUUCACCAAAUAUACAUUUCAUUGUAAAUAUUCCAACAUUUGCUCAACACAAUAAAUGAUU